Molecule: ribosomal RNA, 40 nt
Filed under: Trichophyton rubrum
Lineage: Eukaryota; Fungi; Ascomycota; Eurotiomycetes; Onygenales; Arthrodermataceae
Description: partial 18S ribosomal RNA
Source: RNAcentral
UAAUGAUCCUUCCGUAGGUGAACCUGCGGAAGGAUCAUUA